GUGAAUUUUUAUUAAUAAGACUAUGAGGCAAAGUGGUAUAUAUGGUAGCAAAAUCAAAAGCACCAAUUAUAAGCAUGCAAUUUAUCAAGUACUUCGAACGAAUUUUGACACUCCAAAAGCAAUUUAUUCCACUACUUUCAAAGGCCUUAUUUGAAUUUUUUUUUAUCAGCUGAGGUUUUUGAUUGUACGAAGUGUACUGGUAAGUAGAAUACAUAGUUUAGAAGGGAA
RNAcentral lists this long non-coding RNA (228 nucleotides) under Mytilus galloprovincialis (Mediterranean mussel). The record is from RNAcentral. Lineage: Eukaryota; Metazoa; Mollusca; Bivalvia; Mytilida; Mytilidae.